Molecule: ribosomal RNA, 468 nt
Filed under: uncultured bacterium
Lineage: Bacteria
Description: partial 16S ribosomal RNA
Rfam family: Bacterial small subunit ribosomal RNA
Source: RNAcentral
GACGAACGCUGGCGGCGUGCUUAACACAUGCAAGUCGAACGGAAAGGCCCUGCUUUUGUGGGGUGCUCGAGUGGCGAAAGGGUGAGUAACACGUGAGUAACCUGCCCUUGACUUUGGGAUAACUUCAGGAAACUGGGGCUAAUACCGGAUAGGAGCUCCUGCUGCAUGGUGGGGGUUGGAAAGUUUCUGCGGUUGGGGAUGGACUCGCGGCUUAUCAGCUUGUUGGUGGGGUAGUGGCUUACCACGGCUUUGACGGGUAGCCGGCCUGAGAGGGUGACCGGCCACAUUGGGACUGAGAUACGGCCCAGACUCCUACGGGAGGCAGCAGUGGGGAAUAUUGCACAAUGGGCGGAAGCCUGAUGCAGCAACGCCGCGUGCGGGAUGACGGCCUUCGGGUUGUAAACCGCUUUCGCCUGUGACGAAGCGUGAGUGACGGUAAUGGGUAAAGAAGCACCGGCUAACUACGUG